This 464-nucleotide ribosomal RNA is filed under the name Vreelandella stevensii. RNAcentral describes it as "partial 16S ribosomal RNA". It matches the Rfam family "Bacterial small subunit ribosomal RNA", at positions 338 to 795 of the family's 1533-position model. Lineage: Bacteria; Pseudomonadati; Pseudomonadota; Gammaproteobacteria; Oceanospirillales; Halomonadaceae. The record is from RNAcentral.
CCUACGGGGGGCAGCAGUGGGAAUAUUGGACAAUGGGGGCAACCCUGAUCCAGCCAUGCCGCGUGUGUGAAGAAGGCCCUCGGGUUGUAAAGCACUUUCAGUGAGGAAGAACGCCUGGUGGUUAAUACCCAUCAGGAAAGACAUCACUCACAGAAGAAGCACCGGCUAACUCCGUGCCAGCAGCCGCGGUAAUACGGAGGGUGCGAGCGUUAAUCGGAAUUACUGGGCGUAAAGCGCGCGUAGGUGGCUUGAUAAGCCGGUUGUGAAAGCCCCGGGCUCAACCUGGGAACGGCAUCCGGAACUGUCAAGCUAGAGUGCAGGAGAGGAAGGUAGAAUUCCCGGUGUAGCGGUGAAAUGCGUAGAGAUCGGGAGGAAUACCAGUGGCGAAGGCGGCCUUCUGGACUGACACUGACACUGAGGUGCGAAAGCGUGGGUAGCAAACAGGAUUAGAUACCCUUGUAGUC